GAUCAGUGGCUCAGGACGAACGCUGGCGGCGUGCCUAACACAUGCAAGUCGAGCGGGGAUGUUGGAGAGCUUGCUCAAAAACAUUCUAGCGGCGGACGGGUGAGUAACGCGUGAGCAACCUGCCUAUCACAGGGGAAUAACGCACCGAAAGGUGUGCUAAUACCGCAUGAGACCACAGGACCGCAUGGUCAAGGGGUCAAAGAUUUAUCGGUGAUAGAUGGGCUCGCGUCUGAUUAGCUAGUUGGUGAGGUAACGGGCCCACCAAGGCGACGAUCAGUAGCCGACCUGAGAGGGUGAUCGGCCACAUUGGAACUGAGAAACGGUCCAAACUCCUACGGGAGGCAGCAGUGGGGAAUAUUGGGCAAUGGGCGCAAGCCUGACCCAGCAACGCCGCGUGAAGGAAGAAGGUCUUCGGGUCGUAAACUUCUAUCCUUGGUGAAGAUAAUGACGGUAGCCAAGAAGGAAGCCCCGGCUAACUACGUG
This 483-nucleotide ribosomal RNA is filed under the name uncultured bacterium. RNAcentral's name for it is "bacterial SSU rRNA". It matches the Rfam family "Bacterial small subunit ribosomal RNA", at positions 15 to 507 of the family's 1533-position model. The record is from RNAcentral.